GACGAACGCUGGCGGCGUGCUUAACACAUGCAAGUCGAACGGAAAGGUCUCUUCGGAGAUACUCGAGUGGCGAACGGGUGAGUAACACGUGGGCAAUCUGCCCUGCACUUCGGGAUAAGCCUGGGAAACUGGGUCUAAUACCGGAUAGGACCACUUGGCGCAUGCCUUGUGGUGGAAAGCUUUUGCGGUGUGGGAUGGGCCCGCGGCCUAUCAGCUAGUUGGUGGGGUGAUGGCCUACCAAGGCGACGACGGGUAGCCGGCCUGAGAGGGUGUCCGGCCACACUGGGACUGAGAUACGGCCCAGACUCCUACGGGAGGCAGCAGUGGGGAAUAUUGCACAAUGGGCGCAAGCCUGAUGCAGCGACGCCGCGUGGGGGAUGACGGCCUUCGGGUUGUAAACCUCUUUCAGCAGGGACGAAGCGCAAGUGACGGUACCUGCAGAAGAAGCACCGGCCAACUACG
Molecule: ribosomal RNA, 462 nt
Filed under: Mycobacterium parascrofulaceum
Lineage: Bacteria; Bacillati; Actinomycetota; Actinomycetes; Mycobacteriales; Mycobacteriaceae
Description: bacterial SSU rRNA
Rfam family: Bacterial small subunit ribosomal RNA
Source: RNAcentral